GCCUGAGUGGCUCAGUGGUUGAGCAUCUGCCUUUGGCUCAGGGCAUGAUCCCAGGUAUUGGGAUCGAGUCCCACAUCAGGCU
This 82-nucleotide transfer RNA is filed under the name Canis lupus familiaris (dog). It matches the Rfam family "tRNA". From Rfam's summary of the family: Transfer RNA (tRNA) molecules are approximately 80 nucleotides in length. Their secondary structure includes four short double-helical elements and three loops (D, anti-codon, and T loops). Further hydrogen bonds mediate the characteristic L-shaped molecular structure. tRNAs have two regions of fundamental functional importance: the anti-codon, which is responsible for specific mRNA codon recognition, and the 3' end, to which the tRNAs corresponding amino acid is attached (by aminoacyl-tRNA synthetases). tRNAs cope with the degeneracy of the genetic code in two manners: having more than one tRNA (with a specific anti-codon) for a particular amino acid; and 'wobble' base-pairing, i.e. permitting non-standard base-pairing at the 3rd anti-codon position. RNAcentral also lists the same sequence under 2 other names. The record is from Rfam by way of RNAcentral. Lineage: Eukaryota; Metazoa; Chordata; Mammalia; Carnivora; Canidae.